Molecule: unclassified non-coding RNA, 309 nt
Filed under: uncultured fungus
Lineage: Eukaryota; Fungi
Description: sequence contains ITS2
Rfam family: 5.8S ribosomal RNA (bases 1-52)
Source: RNAcentral
AACGCACCUUGCGCUCCUUGGUAUUCCGAGGAGCAUGCCUGUUUGAGUGUCAUUAAAUUCUCAGUCUUUUUUCAGCUUUCUUUAAUGAUUGUUGAUUAAAGUUUGGAUGUGAAAGUUGCUGGUUUCUUGAUAGAUCAGCUCUUUUUAAAUGCAUAAGUUGAACCUUUUGUAGAUCAGCUUUGGUGUGAUAAAAUAAUAUACACUAUAGUUGUGAAAUGGCGUUUAGCUUCUAACUGUCUUAUUAACUUGGACAACAAUAUUAAUUAAUGUUUUGACCUCAAAUCAGGUAGGACUACCCGCUGAACUUAA